AAGCGAAGAAAACACCAACGGUUGAUCUAAAAUCUAAGCAAAUGGCACCAAACGUCGACAAGUCGAGAAAACCAAAGAUCCGACAAGUUUGGAUCCGGAAAGGUGAUAUCUUUCCUUGCUUCUCGUCUUAGUUGUUUUUUAUUUCUUGUGUAGUGCUUUGAUAGGUGCUUGUUGCAUAUUUUUAUUCAUUGCAUUACAUGAUGAUUUUCGUGUGUGAAAGUUGUUUUUAAAAUUGAUUUGAGGAAAGGUGUUUGGAAAUUUAAAAAUUUUUUUUUUCUUUGAGAGAGGAGAUGAUUGAGAAUCAUUAUUUUGAGGAGAGAAAUUUUUCAAAGUUGUUUAAACGGUGUUUAACUUCACAAUCAUAUUAAGUUAAAUUCAUAUUAAUUAUCGUUUUUACUCCACUUUUUAUUAUUUUGACGAUAAUUUAAUAUAUGAUUUCUUAAUACAUAUAUUCAUUAAAAUUUUGAAAUCAAAUUUGA
Molecule: long non-coding RNA, 479 nt
Filed under: Ananas comosus (pineapple)
Lineage: Eukaryota; Viridiplantae; Streptophyta; Magnoliopsida; Poales; Bromeliaceae
Description: long non-coding RNA (ACOM_LNC043551)
Source: RNAcentral